AGUGAACGCUGGCGGCAGGCCUAACACAUGCAAGUCGAGCGGCAGCGGGUCCUUCGGGAUGCCGGCGAGCGGCGGACGGGUGAGGAAUACAUCGGAAUCUGCCCUGUCGUGGGGGAUAACCUAGGGAAACUUAGGCUAAUACCGCAUACGACCUACGGGUGAAAGCGGGGGAUCGCAAGACCUCGCGCGACAGGAUGAGCCGAUGUCCGAUUAGCUAGUUGGCGGGGUAAAGGCCCACCAAGGCGACGAUCGGUAGCUGGUCUGAGAGGAUGAUCAGCCACACUGGGACUGAGACACGGCCCAGACUCCUACGGGUGGCAGCAGUGGGGAAUAUUGGACAAUGGGCGCAAGCCUGAUCCAGCCAUGCCGCGUGGGUGAAGAAGGCCUUCGGGUUGUAAAGCCCUUUUGUCCGGGAAGAAAUCGUCUGGGCUAAUACCCCGGGCGGAUGACGGUACCGGAAGAAUAAGCACCGGCUAACUUCGUG
RNAcentral lists this ribosomal RNA (484 nucleotides) under uncultured bacterium. RNAcentral's name for it is "partial 16S ribosomal RNA". It matches the Rfam family "Bacterial small subunit ribosomal RNA", at positions 30 to 507 of the family's 1533-position model. The record is from RNAcentral.